UUCGCAAUGCCCGAAAGGGUGACGAAGCGACGCCGCGUGAGCGAAGAAGGCCUUAGGGUUGUAAAGCUCUGUCAGGGGUUAUGAAAUGUAAAUGGGCUAAUACCUCAUCUAUUUGACAAAGGCCCCAAAGGAAGCCACGGCUAACUCUGUGCCAGCAGCCGCGGUAAUACAGAGGUGGCAAGCGUUGUUCGGUAUUAUUGGGCGUAAAGAGCACGUAGGUUGUUUUGUAAGUCAGGUGUGAAAGCCUUCUGUUCAAAGGAAGAACGGCAUCUGAAACUGCAGAUCUUGAGUAUAGGAGGGGAGAGUGGAACUUCUGGUGGAGCGGUGAAAUGCGUAGAUAUCAGAAGGAACGUCGGCGGCGAAAGCGACUCUCUGGCCUAUUACUGACACUGAGGUGCGAAAGUUAGGGGAGCAAACGGGAUUAGAUACCCCGGUAGUCCUAACCGUAAACGAUGGGCACUAAGUAGAGGGGUUUU
This 476-nucleotide ribosomal RNA is filed under the name Candidatus Scalindua wagneri. RNAcentral's name for it is "bacterial SSU rRNA". It matches the Rfam family "Bacterial small subunit ribosomal RNA", at positions 365 to 832 of the family's 1533-position model. The record is from RNAcentral. Lineage: Bacteria; Pseudomonadati; Planctomycetota; Candidatus Brocadiia; Candidatus Brocadiales; Candidatus Scalinduaceae.